Long non-coding RNA from Etheostoma cragini (Arkansas darter), 114 nucleotides. RefSeq lists it as uncharacterized. The record is from RefSeq and is a predicted model, not a curated record. NCBI's taxonomy places the organism in Eukaryota, Metazoa, Chordata, Actinopteri, Perciformes, Percidae. The transcript has 3 exons.
CCGGGCCCGCAGCAGCGAGAGUUUUGGCACCUCCUCCUCUAUUUCUUCUGCGAGCAAAUGUGUCAAACCAGGCAGGUAAUCACAUACAGGAAGGCCACUGUGGAGCUGGAUACU